This 299-nucleotide ribosomal RNA is filed under the name uncultured bacterium. RNAcentral's name for it is "partial 16S ribosomal RNA". It matches the Rfam family "Bacterial small subunit ribosomal RNA", at positions 775 to 1067 of the family's 1533-position model. The record is from RNAcentral.
GGAUUAGAUACCCUGGUAGUCCUGGCAGUAAACGGUGCACGCUUGGUGUGGGGGGAUUUGACCCCUCCCGUGCCGGAGCUAACGCGUUAAGCGUGCCGCCUGGGAAGUACGGUCGCAAGAUUAAAACUCAAAGAAAUUGACGGGGACCCGCACAAGCGGUGGAGUAUGUGGCUUAAUUCGAUGCAACGCGAAGAACCUUACCUGGGCUUGACAUGGAUUGUGUCUACGGUGAAAGCCGUAUACCAACAGCAAUGUUGGGCUUUACACAGGUGCUGCAUGGCUGUCGUCAGCUCGUGCCG